Molecule: unclassified non-coding RNA, 293 nt
Filed under: uncultured Cladosporium
Lineage: Eukaryota; Fungi; Ascomycota; Dothideomycetes; Cladosporiales; Cladosporiaceae
Description: partial contains 5.8S ribosomal RNA, internal transcribed spacer 2, and large subunit ribosomal RNA
Rfam family: 5.8S ribosomal RNA (bases 1-102)
Source: RNAcentral
AUGCGAUAAGUAAUGUGAAUUGCAGAAUUCAGUGAAUCAUCGAAUCUUUGAACGCACAUUGCGCCCCCUGGUAUUCCGGGGGGCAUGCCUGUUCGAGCGUCAUUUCACCACUCAAGCCUCGCUUGGUAUUGGGCAUCGCGGUCCGCCGCGUGCCUCAAAUCGACCGGCUGGGUCUUCUGUCCCCUAAGCGUUGUGGAAACUAUUCGCUAAAGGGUGUUCGGGAGGCUACGCCGUAAAACAACCCCAUUUCUAAGGUUGACCUCGGAUCAGGUAGGGAUACCCGCUGAACUUAA